This 301-nucleotide ribosomal RNA is filed under the name uncultured bacterium. Its description in RNAcentral is "partial 16S ribosomal RNA". It matches the Rfam family "Bacterial small subunit ribosomal RNA", at positions 509 to 807 of the family's 1533-position model. The record is from RNAcentral.
CAGCAGCCACGGUAAUACGAGGGGUGCAAGCGUUAUUCGGAUUGAUUGGGUGUAAAGGGUGUGCAGACGGCUCAUUAAGUCACUUGUUAAAUUCUUCGGCCUAACUGAAGGUCUGCAAGUGAUACUGAUGAGCUAGAGGGUGGAAGAGAGAAGUGGAAUUCUCGGAGUAGCGGUAAAAUGCGUAGAUCUCGAGAGGAACACCAAUGGCGAAGGCAGCUUCUUGGUCCAUUCCUGACGUUCAUACACGAAAGCGUGGGGAGCAAACAGGAUUAGAUACCCGCGUAGUCCCUGUCUCUUAUAC